RNAcentral lists this ribosomal RNA (468 nucleotides) under uncultured bacterium. RNAcentral's name for it is "partial 16S ribosomal RNA". It matches the Rfam family "Bacterial small subunit ribosomal RNA", at positions 28 to 507 of the family's 1533-position model. The record is from RNAcentral.
GACGAACGCUGGCGGCGUGCUUAACACAUGCAAGUCGAACGGAAAGGCCCUGCUUUUGUGGGGUGCUCGAGUGGCGAACGGGUGAGUAACACGUGAGUAACCUGCCCUUGACUUUGGGAUAACUUCAGGAAACUGGGGCUAAUACCGGAUAGGAGCUCCUGCUGCAUGGUGGGGGUUGGAAAGUUUCGGCGGUUGGGGAUGGACUCGCGGCUUAUCAGCUUGUUAGUGGGGUAGUGGCUUACCAAGGCUUUGACGGGUAGCCGGCCUGAGAGGGUGACCGGCCACAUUGGGACUGAGAUACGGCCCAGACUCCUACGGGAGGCAGCAGUGGGGAAUGUUGCACAAUGGGCGGAAGCCUGAUGCAGCAACGCCGCGUGCGGGAUGACGGCCUUCGGGUUGUAAACCGCUUUCGCCUGUGACGAAGCGUGAGUGACGGUAAUGGGUAAAGAAGCACCGGCUAACUACGUG